GGGGGGGGGGGGGGGGGGGGGGGGGGGGGGGGGGGGGGGGGGGGGGGGGGGGCGUGCGGGGGGAGUCGGCGGCGGAGGGGUGGGUAAGGCCGAGGAGUCGGCCGGGUGGUGGGGGAUAAGGGCGGGAGCCGGGCGCUAAUACGGCGUACUUCCUGCGGGAGACAGGGGGGGAUCUUCGGACCUCCCGCUAUCAGAGGAGCCUAGGUCGGAUUAUCUAGGUGGUGGGGUAAAGGCCUACCAAGGCGACGAUCCGUAACUGGUCUGAGAGGAUGAUCAGUCACACUGGAACUGAGACACGGUCCAGACUCCUACGGGAGGCAGCAGUGGGGAAUAUUGGACAAUGGGCGAAAGCCUGAUCCAGCCAUGCCGCGUGUGUGAAGAAGGUCUUCGGAUUGUAAAGCACUUUAAGUUGGGAGGAAGGGCAGUAAGUUAAUACCUUGCUGUUUUGACGUUACCAACAGAAUAAGCACCGGCUAACUUCGUG
Molecule: ribosomal RNA, 484 nt
Filed under: uncultured bacterium
Lineage: Bacteria
Description: partial 16S ribosomal RNA
Rfam family: Bacterial small subunit ribosomal RNA
Source: RNAcentral